GAUGAACGCUGGCGGCGUGCCUAAUACAUGCAAGUCGAGCGAACGGACGAGAAGCUUGCUUCUCUGAUGUUAGCGGCGGACGGGUGAGUAACACGUGGAUAACCUACCUAUAAGACUGGGAUAACUUCGGGAAACCGGAGCUAAUACCGGAUAAUAUUUUGAACCGCAUGGUUCAAAAGUGAAAGACGGUCUUGCUGUCACUUAUAGAUGGAUCCGCGCUGCAUUAGCUAGUUGGUAAGGUAACGGCUUACCAAGGCAACGAUGCAUAGCCGACCUGAGAGGGUGAUUCGGCACACUGGGACCGGGAACCGGUCCCGAACCCUAACGGAGGCCGCCGGAAGGGAUCCUUCGGCAAGGGCGAAAGGCUGACCGGAGCAACCCGGCUUGGUUAAGAAAGUUCUCCGAUCCUAAAACUUUGUUUUUAGGGAAGAACAUAUGUGUAAGUAACUGUGCACAUCUUGACGGUACCUAAUCAGAAAGCCACGGCUAACUACGUG
Molecule: ribosomal RNA, 497 nt
Filed under: uncultured bacterium
Lineage: Bacteria
Description: partial 16S ribosomal RNA
Rfam family: Bacterial small subunit ribosomal RNA
Source: RNAcentral